GAUGAACGCUGGCGGCGUGCCUAAUACAUGCAAGUCGAGCGAACGGAUGAGAAGCUUGCUUCUCUGAUGUUAGCGGCGGACGGGUGAGUAACACGUGGAUAACCUACCUAUAAGGCUGGGAUAACUUCGGGAAACCGGAGCUAAUACCGGAUAAUAUUUUGAACCGCAUGGUUCAAAAGUGAAAGACGGUCUUGCUGUCACUUAUAGAUGGAUCCGCGCUGCAUUAGCUAGUUGGUAAGGUAACGGCUUACCAAGGCAACGAUGCAUAGCCGACCUGAGAGGGUGAUCGGCCACACUGGAACUGAGACACGGUCCAGACUCCUACGGGAGGCAGCAGUAGGGAAUCUUCCGCAAUGGGCGAAAGCCUGACGGAGCAACGCCGCGUGAGUGAUGAAGGUCUUCGGAUCGUAAAACUCUGUUAUUAGGGAAGAACAUAUGUGUAAGUAACUGUGCACAUCUUGACGGUACCUAAUCAGAAAGCCACGGCUAACUACGUG
Molecule: ribosomal RNA, 497 nt
Filed under: uncultured bacterium
Lineage: Bacteria
Description: partial 16S ribosomal RNA
Rfam family: Bacterial small subunit ribosomal RNA
Source: RNAcentral